GGAAUCAUUGGGUUUAAAGGGUCCGUAGGCGGGCGUCUAAGUCAGUGGUGAAAUCUCGCGGCUCAACCGUGAAAUUGCCAUUGAUACUGGUCGCCUUGAAUUAGUGUGAAGUGGCUAGAAUAUGUAGUGUAGCGGCGAAAUGCUUAGAUAUUACAUAGAAUACCGAUUGCGAAGGCAGGUCACUAACACUAUAUUGACGCUGAUGGACGAAAGCGUGGGGAGCGAACAGGAUUAGAUACCCUGGUAGUCCACGCCGUAAACGAUGGAUACUAGCUGUCCGUCCCGAGUUGUCGGGAUGGGUGGCCAAGCGAAAGUGAUAAGUAUCCCACCUGGGGAGUACGUUCGCAAGAAUGAAACUCAAAGGAAUUGACGGGGGCCCGCACAAGCGGUGGAGCAUGUGGUUUAAUUCGAUGAUACGCGAGGAACCUUACCAGGGCUUGAAUGCAGUGCGACAGGGGCGGAAACGCCCCCUUCCUCGGACGCAUUGCAAGGUGCUGCAUGGUUGUCGUCAGCUCGUGCCGUGAGGUGUCAGGUUAAGUCCUAUAACGAGCGCAACCCCUGCCGCUAGUUGCCAGCAUGUAAAGAUGGGAACUCUAGCGGGACUGCCGGUGCAAACCGUGAGGAAGGUGGGGAUGACGUCAAAUCACCACGGCCCUUACGUCCUGGGCCACACACGUGCUACAAUGGCCGGUACAAUGGGCAGCCACGCCGCAAGGCGGAGCGAAUCCACAAAACCGGUCUCAGUUCGGAUCGGGGUCUGCAACUCGACCCCGUGAAGCUGGAAUCGCUAGUAAUCGGAUAUCAGCCAUGAUCCGGUGAAUACGUUCCCGGGCCUUGUACACACCGCCCGUCAAGCCAUGGAAGCCGGAAGCACCUGAAGUCCGUCACCGCGAGGAGCGGCCUAGGGUGAAGCUGGUAACUGGGGCUAAGUCGUAACAAGGUAGCCGUA
RNAcentral lists this ribosomal RNA (949 nucleotides) under uncultured Alphaproteobacteria bacterium. RNAcentral describes it as "bacterial SSU rRNA". It matches the Rfam family "Bacterial small subunit ribosomal RNA", at positions 547 to 1504 of the family's 1533-position model. The record is from RNAcentral. Lineage: Bacteria; Pseudomonadati; Pseudomonadota; Alphaproteobacteria.